Molecule: ribosomal RNA, 497 nt
Filed under: uncultured bacterium
Lineage: Bacteria
Description: partial 16S ribosomal RNA
Rfam family: Bacterial small subunit ribosomal RNA
Source: RNAcentral
GAUGAACGCUGGCGGCGUGCCUAAUACAUGCAAGUCGAGCGAACGGACCAGAAGCUUGCUCCCCUGAUGUUAUCGCCGGACGGGAGAGUAACUCGUGGAUAACCUACCUAUCAGACUGGGAUACUUUCGGGAGACCGGAUCUAAGACCCGAUAAUAUUUUGACCUGCAUUGUUCCAAAGUGAAAGACGGUCUUGCUGUCACUUAUAGAUGAAUCCGCGCUGCAUUAGCUAGUUGGUAAGGUAACGGAUUACCAAGGCAAGGAUGCAUAGCCGACCUGAGAGGGUGGACGGCCACACUGGAACUGAGACACGGCCGCGACUCCUACGGUAGGCAGCAGUAGGGAAUCUUCCGCGAUGGGCGAAAGCCUGACGGAGCAACGCCGCGUGAGUGAUGAAGGACUUCGGAUGGUAAAGCGAUGUUAGCAGGGAAGAACAUAUGUGUAAGUAACCGUGCAGAUAUUGACGGUACCUAAUCAGAAAGCCACGGCUAACUACGUG